CAAGGAAUAGUUUAAUAAAAAUUUUAGUUUUGGAGAUUAACGAUAGGGGUAUCCUUUUCCUUGA
This 64-nucleotide transfer RNA is filed under the name Papunya picta. RNAcentral's name for it is "tRNA-Pro". The record is from RNAcentral. Lineage: Eukaryota; Metazoa; Arthropoda; Insecta; Coleoptera; Cerambycidae.